GAUGAACGCUGGCGGCGUGCCUAAUACAUGCAAGUCGAGCGAACGGACGAGAAGCUUGCUUUUCUGAUGUUAGCGGCGGACGGGUGAGUAACACGUGGAUAACCUACCUAUCAGACUGGGAUAACUUCGGGAAACCGGAGCUAAUACCGGAUAAUAUUUUGAACCGCAUGGUUCAAAAGUGAAAGACGGUCUUGCUGUCACUUAUAGAUGGAUCCGCGCUGCAUUAGCUAGUUGGUAAGGUAACGGCUUACCAAGGCAACGAUGCAUAGCCGACCUGAGAGGGUGAUCGGCCACACUGGAACUGAGACACGGUCCAGACUCCUACGGGAGGCAGCAGUAGGGAAUCUUCCGCAAUGGGCGAAAGCCUGACGGAGCAACGCCGCGUGAGUGAUGAAGGUCUUCGGAUCGUAAAACUCUGUUAUGAGGGAAGAACAUAUGUGUAAGUAACUGUGCACAUCGUGACGGUACCUAAUCAGAAAGCCACGGCUAACUACGUG
Molecule: ribosomal RNA, 497 nt
Filed under: uncultured bacterium
Lineage: Bacteria
Description: partial 16S ribosomal RNA
Rfam family: Bacterial small subunit ribosomal RNA
Source: RNAcentral